Molecule: long non-coding RNA, 573 nt
Organism: Glossina fuscipes
Lineage: Eukaryota; Metazoa; Arthropoda; Insecta; Diptera; Glossinidae
Exons: 3
Source: RefSeq, a predicted model, not a curated record
UAACACUAUAGGAAGCGGCCAGUGCUGGUACAUUUGUUAAAAUUGCGGCUGCUAAAGAACAAAGAAACCACUAAAAAGAAUUGAGCUACAGAUAUUGCUUUCCAUCAGUACAGUCUGAUUGAAGGAAUCGACGGCAUAAGGGGCGCUCUCAUACAAAUUCCACAGCAAAUUGAUAGCCUGCAAAAAUAUGUCCGAACGAUUAUGACAUAAACGUGUUACAUCUUUCUCAAAACUAAGAAAUACUAUAAACUUUUGAGUUCAUGUUAAGAACAAUUUAACUACCAUAUUCAAGUCUGCUGCCCGGAUGAGGUAAGCCGUCAUUAUCUAAAUGUUCGCGAAGCUCUGGCAUUUGCGGAUUACGAGCAAAAUAGCAAGUUCCACUCAAUUCAAAACAUUUUGAUAUAUAGAUGCUACCGUGAGGAUGACAUACGGUAUACCAACGCUUCGGAAAAUGAUCAGCAAGUUGCCGUCAAAUGGGCAAACGAGCAUUGGAUUUAAAUUGCUUUUCGUAUAUGCAUGAUAUGAUUUCAAACCCGAUAUUUAAGAUAUAGAAACGUAGAAUCAGUUUUGGCU